UUAAACAGCGCCUCUACUCUGGUUACUCCCCGCCACGGCUUCUUGCCUCAAUGGUUUCACCUUUAGGAUGGCAUAGUCCUUAGGGAUAUUUCUCCGUUUCCUCUUUGUUAAUAAACUUCUUAACAUAUUAUUCUUCGAAUAAUUCUACUAUAAAGUAACUAAUAUGAAUUAUUUUAUCAUAUCAUGAUUGUUGGGAAUUAUGAAAUUAGCUAUUCAUAAUUAUAAAUAGAUAUACCUGUUCCGGUAGCUUUGAUGUUUCUGAGUUUUGUUGUUCCAUAGCUUUUUCCAUUGGAGUAUAUUUAUCUAAUUAACUGAGUAAUUUUUGUGGAAUGGAGAGAGAAAGGUUUGCUUCAAAAGAAGGCUUGCUUUCCGCAAUACCCUCGACCUUUGUAUUUAUAGAAUGAAUUUACAUAUCUGCUGUGCCUAAGAAGUAAUGAAAAUUAAAGAAGUGGGGCCUAUCCCCAUCUAACUUUUCCUAAAAUUCUAAGUUACGUAAAGUUUCUCAAUUAAAACUAAGCCUAAGAAGUCAAAAAGGUAUCUAACUUACAAUUUCUAAAACUAAAGAAAAAAAAUAGUCAACAAUAGUGGCUUACAUAUACAUUUUUUCUACGUAAAAAGUCUAACAAAUUAAUUAAUGUACAGUAUCUUGUCUCCGUUGAUUUUGUCGUAUCUGCUCCAUUAUUGCUCUGUAUCUGCUCCAUUAUUGCUCUGUAUCUGCUCCAUUAUUGCUCUGUAUCUGCUCCAUUAUUGCUCUGUAUCUGCGCCAUUAUUGCUCUGUAUCUGCUCCAUUAUUGCUCUUUUNNNNNNNNNNNNNNNNNNNNNNNNNNNNNNNNNNNNNNNNNNNNNNNNNNNNNNNNNNNNNNCUUGAACAUUGGUGGUCUGGAUAUUUAUGUCCGAUUAUCUUACAGUAUCUUGUUAGCAGUCCGUCUGAAAUAAAUCCCUUUUUCAUUGCUCGCGCGGUAGAUUUUUUUUUCUGGGUUAAGUAGCGUCAGUAUCCAUUGUCUUACGUCUUCCAUAUCUGCUUGUCGUAGCUCUUUUGAAUUUGAAUAUAUCAUUUGGUGAUCUCUUGAAUAGUAGCUCCAUAUUGGGUUUCCGUUAGCAUAGUUAUUUGCUAGUUCUUGAAUGAUCGUAGCUAGUCCAAUAAGUCUUUUAUUUGCAUAAAAAUCUGGUAUCUCGAUUCUAGGUAUCUCCGGUUGUUGCGAAAUAUCUUCUGGUAUAAUCAUAUCUCUUGUUAAUCCUAUCUUUACAACUUGUAUAACUGGUUUUAUUUCGUCAUAUAAUAUCUCUGCUGGUGCAGUAUAACACUUUAUAUAAAAUAAAUUUCCUUUUGUUAUUCUUUUGUAGGUAGUGAAUAUCUUGUAUAAUUCCUCCAUAGCUGUUAGCUCUUCUCCGUCUUGGGUGUAUAUGGUAUUUAGUAGUCCAUAGUCAAAACAAGUUUUAACUAGGCUUGGGUUAGUUUUGGGUAGUGCUAUCAGUUUAUUGUAUCCUUGUAGUUUUUGGGUUAUAUAAUUGGUAUUUGGUUCUUGGAUAUUUGUAGCUCUGGGGUUAUGGUUUAGAAAGGUUUGGACUCUAUAUAUAUUUUCUAUGUAUUUUUGGGCUGUGUAGUUGUAUAUUUUCUUGUCUUGGUUUAGGCUGUCUCGGUAUGUGUUAACUUGUGGGGGUAUGAAUAAAUGGUCUUUUUGUGCUUUUGGGGUAAAUGGUUUUUCAAAUAUUUUGUUCAUAUUUACAUUCUGGUAUCUUGGUCUAUUAACUCCUUUGCUUGUACCUGCAGAAGUAGAUUGAUAAAUGUUAUGGGUUUUAUGGAGUGUCCCAACGUCUCCUUCUAGCUCUGGAUUUUUAAUGUCUUUCGAUCGACAUAGCUCUGCACAUUGCUGAGUUAGCUGAUUUGUAGCUAUAGACUUCAGUUUAUCUUCAUUAGUCUUUAGCUUUUCUAUCUCAUUACCCAUACUGUCCACUUUCAUUGAAAGCGUAGUUAGGGUGUUAAGUAUUUUUUCUAGA
This 1998-nucleotide long non-coding RNA is filed under the name Capsicum annuum. RNAcentral's name for it is "long non-coding RNA (CANN_LNC017319)". Lineage: Eukaryota; Viridiplantae; Streptophyta; Magnoliopsida; Solanales; Solanaceae. The record is from RNAcentral.